GAAACACGGACCAAGGAGUCUAGCAUGUGCGCGAGUCAUUGGGAUCGCAAUAAACCUAAAGGCGCAAUGAAAGUAAAGGUCCGCCUCGCGCGGACCUAGGGAGGAUGGGCCCGUUCACGGGCGGGCCCCGCACUCCCGGGGCGUCUCGUUCUCAUUGCGAGAAGAGGCGCACCCAGAGCGUACACGCUGGGACCCGAAAGAUGGUGACCUAUGCCCGGUCAGGACGAAGUCAGGGGAAACCCUGAUGGAGGUCCGUAGCGAUUCUGACGUGCAAAUCGAUCGUCGGAACUGGGUAUAGCGGCGAAAGACUCAUCGAACCAUCUAGUAGCUGG
RNAcentral lists this ribosomal RNA (332 nucleotides) under Epirinus silvestris. Its description in RNAcentral is "eukaryotic LSU rRNA". It matches the Rfam family "Eukaryotic large subunit ribosomal RNA", at positions 656 to 954 of the family's 3401-position model. The record is from RNAcentral. Lineage: Eukaryota; Metazoa; Arthropoda; Insecta; Coleoptera; Scarabaeidae.